Myotis lucifugus (little brown bat) is the source of this 120-nucleotide small nucleolar RNA. Ensembl annotates it as small nucleolar RNA SNORA61. The record is from Ensembl. NCBI's taxonomy places the organism in Eukaryota, Metazoa, Chordata, Mammalia, Chiroptera, Vespertilionidae.
ACCCUCUGGUUCUCUUUCCCAUGGGAUCUGAACACUGAUUUUGGUGGUUGUAAAGGAGGAAAAGUAAUACUGAAGCUGGCCUCACAGUGCUUGUAGUCUGUGGGCUAGUUUCAAACAAGG